Molecule: ribosomal RNA, 490 nt
Filed under: uncultured bacterium
Lineage: Bacteria
Description: bacterial SSU rRNA
Rfam family: Bacterial small subunit ribosomal RNA
Source: RNAcentral
CCUUCUUGGGUUGUAAACUGCUUUUGCCGGGGGAUAAAAUUCCCAUGCGUGGGAAAUUGAANGUACCCGGUGAAUAAGCCACGGCUAACUACGUGCCAGCAGCCGCGGUAAUACGUAGGUGGCAAGCGUUGUCCGGAUUUAUUGGGUUUAAAGGGUGCGUAGGCGGCCUUGUAAGUCANUGCUGAAAUAUCCCGGCUUAACCGGGAGGGUGGCAUUGAUACUGCAGGGCUUGAGUAGAGUCGAGGUAGGCGGAAUUGACGGUGUAGCGGUGAAAUGCUUAGAUAUCGUCAAGAACACCGAUAGUGUAGACAGCUUACUAGGCUCAAACUGACGCUGAGGCACGAAAGUGUGGGGAUCAAACAGGAUUAGAUACCCUGGUAGUCCACACUGUAAACGUUGAUGACUCGCUGUUGGCGAUAUACAGUCAGCGGCUUAGAGAAAUCGUUAAGUCAUCCACCUGGGGAGUACGCCGGCAACGGUGAAACUCAAA